UUACGGCCACAUCACAGUGAAACACCGGUUUCCGUACGAUGACCGAAGUUAAGCAAUGUUGAAUCUGGUUAGUACCAAGGUGAGUGACCGCUGGGGAAUACCAGGUGCUGUAAGC
Acanthosepion pharaonis is the source of this 115-nucleotide non-coding RNA. The record is from the annotation of a GenBank genome assembly. NCBI's taxonomy places the organism in Eukaryota, Metazoa, Mollusca, Cephalopoda, Sepiida, Sepiidae.